CCUACGGGAGGCUGCAGUGAGGAAUAUUGGUCAAUGGACGAGAGUCUGAACCAGCCAAGUAGCGUGAAGGAUGACUGCCCUAUGGGUUGUAAACUUCUUUUAUAUGGGAAUAAAAUGUUCCACGUGUGGGGUUUUGUAUGUACCAUAUGAAUAAGGAUCGGCUAACUCCGUGCCAGCAGCCGCGGUAAUACGGAGGAUCCGAGCGUUAUCCGGAUUUAUUGGGUUUAAAGGGAGCGUAGGCGGUUUCUUAAGUCAGUGGGAAAAUUGUGCGGCUCAACCGUACAAUGCAGUUGAAACUGGGAGUCUUGAGGACGGGCAGGGUGGAUGGAAUUCGUGGUGUAGCGGUGAAAUGCUUAGAUAUCACGAAGAACUCCGAUUGCGAAGGCAUUGCACCGGAGUACGACUGACGCUGAGGCUCGAAAGUGUGGGUAUCAAACAGGAUUAGAUACCCUUGUAGUC
Molecule: ribosomal RNA, 459 nt
Filed under: uncultured bacterium
Lineage: Bacteria
Description: partial 16S ribosomal RNA
Rfam family: Bacterial small subunit ribosomal RNA
Source: RNAcentral